UAGAACCGAUAACCCCCGUUUAACCUCACCCUUCCUUGUUAAUCCCGCCUAUAUACCGCCGUCGUCAGCUUACCCUGUGAAGGUCUAAUAGUAAGCAGAAUUGGCACAACGCAAAACGUCAGGUCGAGGUGUAGCGGAUGGAGGGGGAAGAAAUGGGCUACCACAAACGAUGCACUGAAAUGUACAUCCGAAGGAGGAUUUAGCAGUAAGCAGGAAAUAGAGUGUCCUGCUGAAAGGCCCUGAAGCGCGCACACACCGCCCGUCACUCUCCCCGAACCUAAAAUAAAACCCUAGGGAUAAAGGGGAGGCAAGUCGUAACAUGGUAAGUGUACCGGAAGGGGCACUUGGAAAAAU
This 354-nucleotide ribosomal RNA is filed under the name Polyprion americanus (wreckfish). RNAcentral describes it as "partial 12S ribosomal RNA". It matches the Rfam family "Bacterial small subunit ribosomal RNA", at positions 946 to 1533 of the family's 1533-position model. Lineage: Eukaryota; Metazoa; Chordata; Actinopteri; Acropomatiformes; Polyprionidae. The record is from RNAcentral.